GACGAAGGAUGCAAGCGUUAUCCGGAUUCAUUGGGUUUAAAGGGAGCGUAGGUGGCCUUGUAAGUCAGUGGUGAAAUCUGACAGCUUAACUGUUAAAUUGCCAUUGAUACUGCAAGGCUUGAGUACAGAUGCCGUUGGCGGAAUAUGACAUGUAGUGGUGAAAUACAUAGAGAUGUCAUAGAACACCGAUUGCGAAGGCAGCUGACGAAACUGUAACUGACACUGAGGCUCGAAAGCGUGGGGAGCGAACAGG
RNAcentral lists this ribosomal RNA (253 nucleotides) under uncultured bacterium. Its description in RNAcentral is "partial 16S ribosomal RNA". It matches the Rfam family "Bacterial small subunit ribosomal RNA", at positions 524 to 776 of the family's 1533-position model. The record is from RNAcentral.